Molecule: non-coding RNA, 2670 nt
Organism: Phalacrocorax carbo (great cormorant)
Lineage: Eukaryota; Metazoa; Chordata; Aves; Suliformes; Phalacrocoracidae
Source: RefSeq, a predicted model, not a curated record
AUUACGUACCCGGUGUAUAAGACUGCCUAUUGCUGACCAGUACCAAUAGCAUUGCCAAAAUCUACUCUGCACAGUGUUUUUGAACACCCUGCCUUUUAUUGAACUUGCUAGGAUCAAUGCCAAUUAUUAGAUUUUAAUAAGAUUUAUUUCAUCAUCAAGAUACUGUUAGAUAUGCUAAUAGCUUCGAUCAUUUUAGGGCUUAGUCAAUGCCAUAUACUCAGUACAACCACACUGUAAUCAAACGCUAAACUAAAACUAAACACUAUAAACUAAACAAUUAAAAAUGUUUUUACAUGUCCAGUUAUGUGUUAGAGCUUUCUCACUUGAACUAUCUAGUUAUAUAAUACCUAAUUAUAUACCACCUAAUAACAUAAUACCUCACAUAUAUAAUGCCUUAGUGGUCUAUGUCAUCAUUCUUACACUUAAACAACCAGUUAAAGUGGCAAAUCAAAACACUGCAGAGGCAGGAAAUUACAGAGGUGGUUUGCUUUGGGUUUUUGGGUUUUUUUAAUAUAUAUGGUCUAAGAAUCACAUAUUAGUUGCAUGAUGACUCGUAAAGAUCACAGAUGCCUGUAAAGAUACAGAAUCAAGGAUGACAGCACUGUUUCAUCUGGUGUCAGAUAAUAGAGGACUGCAUCAAGUUUUAAUUUCUACACUCCUAACUAGGAAGAAUUCGGAGGAGACUUGCCAGAUAUUUUAAAGUUAAGAAACAGGUCUUUAAGGAAUAAUUUAGAAGACUUCAAUAUAAAGAUUUUAACAAAAAUGUAAAGAUUGGUAUUUAUUUAUAAAUUUUUGCACACAGGAGCUGAAGAAAAGCUGUUGCAGUACACUUCUACAUCUGUUAAAAAGUCAGUAUCAAGCACUCGGCUGUUACCCAACAAUGGUCUUGAGUCUUAAGAAGAAAUACACGAAUGAGAAUCACAAGGACAUCAAAAGUUUUGAAAGACAGCGAACUUCUGUAUCCACUAAAACCAGAUUAAAACAUAUCCUACUGAAGAAGAUGCAACAAUAGGCGCAAAGAAUAACCUGUAAAAUAAUCUUUCUGAGGUCCUUAAAGAAUUAGCUUGAAUCUCAGUUCUGUGCAUGCCGGAAAAAGCCUAGAAGGAAAUAGAGGCUGGCCAGCUGCGACCAAGUGUAACUUAGACUCAGCUACUCUAAAAGGAAGAGCCAACGAGAAAGCACUGGAGAGAUAAAGGCACUGGCACUGUGAAAACUUUGCUGAUGUUUCUGAAAAAAGUAGCAUCGGGUACAUCUGCUUAACAUUAAUGGUCACAGUGUCUUACAAGCCAAGAGAAGCAGCUUUUCAGGUUUGGGUAACACAAGUCUGAAGGCUGUUGCUGAGAUUUUGAACUACAUCUGAAGAUGAAAUAAAAACCUGCUCACAGGUAUGAGAUAAUGAAUCUGUUUUAGAGCUUCAGACAAUAACUACUAGAAGAGUUGUAGUGACAUUUUUAGUCACAAAGAACCAAAGCAGGUUAUGCAAAGUGCCUAAGACAGAGGAUGACAAUUAAAGUCCUAUAUGAAAGAAAGGAUAUUCUGGCUGUCCAUGAAGAAAAACAAACCCACCACCACAAACAAACCACACACGCUACUCUCUUCUGUAUGGUAGCAGUUUCUUUUUUUGCCAUGUUUUCAAGCUGAAAGAAGCUUAGAAUCUAAUACUGUAAAGCCCCUAUUCCCAUGAUAACAAUGUGAAACUGCUGGCCAUACGAUGUUCAAAAUGCCCAAAACCACAGCACAGUUAGAUGAAUACAUGAAGAACAGAUAUACUGAUGACAGUUAAACAUGACCAUCCAGAUUACGAUCCCAAGUAGGAAGUUCUGAUGCUGCUGACUGUUGGAAGGUGCACCUACUGAUAACAGAGAACAUGGCAAAUUUCCAAGACUGUCAAAACCAAACUUGUACUUCUAUAACCUCCUGAAAAAUAUAUUAUAUAAAUGCUACCUACCAAUCCAAAGGGUAGAUAUGGUCAAAUCUAGGAUGUUUUUCUAAGAAUCUGUAUUUUCACAGAGCAACAUAGGGAUUAAAAAGAUCAAAGAAAAAGUAAAUCUCCUUAGCUGCCACGGACUGUCAUAAACAAAGCAAAUUUAGCAUUUAAAAGGUGAACUGUUAAGAGCAUCUUCAAUCACUUUAAACAGACAUAUAGACUAGGAGAAGCCUUGUGUAGUCUUCUCCAGCAUAAGGAGGGGGCAAACAAAAUUUUAAUGUAGAAUACUUAUUCUAAACCAUUCUGAAGCAUCAGAUCUCCUGGUUACAUAUUAUGAGACCCAGCUAGCAAUAAACACUGGUAAUGGAGAAGUGGAGGAAUACAGAAGAGGAGUUACAUAAAGACCGAACUGACUGAGAACAUGAGGGAAGAAUGAAGAAAUGCUGUCAUAGAAGACCUAUAGAUAAACAGCUAAAAAGAUCAGAAAAUCCACUGCGAAACAUGAACAAUGCUAGCACCCAAGCAAUCAUUUUAGUUGUGCUAAUUUUAAAAUGUGGGGGAAACACAACAGACAGUGCUGAUCGUGCUGUGCAUCUCUCUGGGGAAUUUUUGUGCUUGGAUUUUUAAGGUGUAUGGGUUGUGCUUCAAGUGGGCCUUCAACAUUUAAAUGUGGUUGUAUUGCAGGGUUAAAUUGGUGAACUUGUGUUCUCUUGUCUUUCAUAAAAGUGUAAUUAGUUAUGCUA